Molecule: ribosomal RNA, 1313 nt
Filed under: human gut metagenome
Description: bacterial LSU rRNA
Rfam family: Bacterial large subunit ribosomal RNA
Source: RNAcentral
CCAUUCAUUUAAAGAGUGCGUAACAGCUCACUAGUCGAGCGGUCCUGCAUGGAUAAUACGCGGGCAUAAGCAUAUAACCGAAGCUAUGGGAUUGUAGAUGAUACAAUCGGUAGGAGAGCAUUCCAUUCAGCAUAGAAGCAGUACCGUGAGGUAUUGUGGAGCGGAUGGAAAAGCAAAUGUAGGCAUAAGUAACGAUAAUGCGGGUGAGAACCCCGCACGCCGAAAGAUCAAGGAUUCCCCGGCAAUGUCAAUCAUCCGGGGGUAAGUCGGAUCCUAAGGGUAAGCCGAGUGGCGAUCCCGAUGGCAAACAGGUUAAUAUUCCUGUACUGAUCAUAACUGCGAUGCAGCGACGCAGAGGUGACACUGCUGCGUACUGACGGAAUAGUACGUUGAAACCCGUAUUCUUUGAUACCGGUAGUGAAGCACGCCGGUAGAGAUGAAAGGUGAUAGUACCGCAAUGCUUCGGUUGCGCGGAUAACGCAGGUAAGCUGACUGCCAAGAAAACCUGCUAAGCUUCAGGUAAUGAUCAUCCGUACUGUAAACGGACACACGUGAUCAGGUAGAAAAUACUAAGGCGCUCGAGAGAUUCAUGGUUAAGGAACUAGGCAAAAUGGUCCUGUAACUUCGGGAUAAAGGACGCUCUUGUGAAAGAGCCGCAGAUAAUAGGCCCAGGCGACUGUUUACCAAAAACACAUGGCUAUGCUAAUUCGCAAGAAGAUGUAUAUGGCCUGACACCUGCCCGGUGCCGGAAGGUUAAGAGGAGAGCUCAGAGGCAACUCGAAGGUUUGAAUUGAAGCCCCGGUAAACGGCGGCCGUAACUAUAACGGUCCUAAGGUAGCGAAAUUCCUUGUCGGGUAAGUUCCGACCUGCACGAAUGGUGUAACGAUCUGGGUACUGUCUCAACCAUGAGCUCGGUGAAAUUGUAGUUCCGGUGAAGAUGCCGGAUACCCGCAACGGGACGGAAAGACCCCGUGAACCUUUACUGCAGCUUUGCAUUGAUUUUGGGUAACAGAUGUGUAGGAUAGGUCGGAGGCUUUGAUGCUGCGUCGUCAGGCGUAGAGUAGCCGUCGUUGAAAUACGACCCUUUUGUUAUCUGAGGUCUAACCCGUUAGGGAGACAUUGCAUGGUGGGUAGUUUGACUGGGGUGGUCGCCUCCAAAAGUGUAACGGAGGCUUCUCAAGGUACCCUCAAGGCGUUUGGUAAUCGUCUGCAGAGUGCAAUGGCAUAAGGGUGCUUGACUGUGAGACCGACACGUCGAUCAGGUUGGAAACAAGAGCAUAGUGAUCCGGUGGUUCCGCAUGGAAGGGCCAUCG